GUGGAGGGAGGUACAUACAGUGCAUUGUCUUGUAAUUGGAAUGAUGGUGACGUAAAAUCUCACCAGAGUAACAAUUGGAGGGCAAGUCUGGUGCCAGCAGCCGCGGUAAUUCCAGCUCCAAUAGCGUAUAUUAAACUUGUUGCAGUUAAAAAGCUCGUAGUUGAAUUUCUGCGUUGCCCGACUCGGCUACUUGCCUUGUCUGGUUUCGCUUUUGGGGUUUUCCCCUUUUUACUUUGAGAAAAUUAGAGUGUUUCAAGCAGACUUGUGUCUUGAAUACUUCAGCAUGGAAUAAUAAAGUAGGACUUUGGUUCUAUUUUGUUGGUUUGUGAACCUUAGUAAUGGUUAAUAGGAACGGUUGGGGGCAUUCGUAUUUAAA
This 376-nucleotide ribosomal RNA is filed under the name Babesia gibsoni. RNAcentral's name for it is "SSU rRNA". It matches the Rfam family "Eukaryotic small subunit ribosomal RNA", at positions 458 to 902 of the family's 1831-position model. Lineage: Eukaryota; Apicomplexa; Aconoidasida; Piroplasmida; Babesiidae. The record is from RNAcentral.